GCUGGGCAUGGUGGUGUGUAUCUGUAAUCUCAGAGACUCAGGAGGCUGAGGCAGGAGGAUUGCAAGUUCAAAGCCAGCCUCAGUAACUUACUGAGACCUCAGCAAUUUAGCAGGACCCUGUCUCAA
RNAcentral lists this small RNA (126 nucleotides) under Marmota monax (woodchuck). The record is from RNAcentral. Lineage: Eukaryota; Metazoa; Chordata; Mammalia; Rodentia; Sciuridae.